RNAcentral lists this ribosomal RNA (453 nucleotides) under Staphylococcus ureilyticus. RNAcentral's name for it is "bacterial SSU rRNA". It matches the Rfam family "Bacterial small subunit ribosomal RNA", at positions 35 to 475 of the family's 1533-position model. Lineage: Bacteria; Bacillati; Bacillota; Bacilli; Caryophanales; Staphylococcaceae. The record is from RNAcentral.
GCUGGCGGCGUGCCUAAUACAUGCAAGUCGAGCGAACAGAUAAGGAGCUUGCUCCUUUGACGUUAGCGGCGGACGGGUGAGUAACACGUGGGUAACCUACCUAUAAGACUGGAAUAACUCCGGGAAACCGGGGCUAAUGCCGGAUAACAUUUAGAACCGCAUGGUUCUAAAGUGAAAGAUGGUUUUGCUAUCACUUAUAGAUGGACCCGCGCCGUAUUAGCUAGUUGGUAAGNUNAUUNCUUACCAAGGCAACGAUACGUAGCCGACCUGAGAGGGUGAUCGGCCACACUGGAACUGAGACACGGUCCAGACUCCUACGGGAGGCAGCAGUAGGGAAUCUUCCGCAAUGGGCGAAAGCCUGACGGAGCAACGCCGCGUGAGUGAUGAAGGUCUUCGGAUCGUAAAACUCUGUUAUUAGGGAAGAACAAAUGUGUAAGUAACUGUGCACGUCUG